This is a transfer RNA of Rhodotorula sp. JG-1b, 85 nucleotides long. It matches the Rfam family "tRNA". From Rfam's summary of the family: Transfer RNA (tRNA) molecules are approximately 80 nucleotides in length. Their secondary structure includes four short double-helical elements and three loops (D, anti-codon, and T loops). The record is from Rfam. Lineage: Eukaryota; Fungi; Basidiomycota; Microbotryomycetes; Sporidiobolales; Sporidiobolaceae.
GCCCCCGUGGCCCAGUGGUACGGCAUCUGACUUCUAAUCGACUUAUGUUAUCAGAAGAUCGCGGGUUCGAUCCCCGCCGGGGGCU